GACGAACGCUGGCGGCGUGCUUAACACAUGCAAGUCGAGCGGUAAGGCCCUUUCGGGGGUACGACGAGCGGCGAACGGGUGAGUAACACGUGGGUGACCUGCCCUCAGCUCUGGGAUAAGCCUGGGAAACCGGGUCUAAUACUGGAUAUGACUCCAUGACGCAUGUUGUGGGGUGGAAAGCCUUGUGCGGCUGAGGAUGGGCCCGCGGCCUAUCAGCUUGUUGGUGGGGUGAUGGCCUACCAAGGCGACGACGGGUAGCCGGCCUGAGAGGGCGACCGGCCACACUGGGACUGAGACACGGCCCAGAC
RNAcentral lists this ribosomal RNA (308 nucleotides) under uncultured bacterium. RNAcentral's name for it is "bacterial SSU rRNA". It matches the Rfam family "Bacterial small subunit ribosomal RNA", at positions 28 to 336 of the family's 1533-position model. The record is from RNAcentral.